UUGGCGGACGGGUGAGUAACGCGUGGGUAACCUGCCUUAUACAGGGGGAUAACAACCAGAAAUGGUUGCUAAUACCGCAUAAGCGCACAGGACCGCAUGGUCCGGUGUGAAAAACUCCGGUGGUAUAAGAUGGACCCGCGUUGGAUUAGCUAGUUGGCAGGGUAACGGCCUACCAAGGCGACGAUCCAUAGCCGGCCUGAGAGGGUGAACGGCCACAUUGGGACUGAGACACGGCCCAG
RNAcentral lists this ribosomal RNA (239 nucleotides) under uncultured bacterium. Its description in RNAcentral is "partial 16S ribosomal RNA". It matches the Rfam family "Bacterial small subunit ribosomal RNA", at positions 95 to 334 of the family's 1533-position model. The record is from RNAcentral.